AUGGCUAAACGCACCAAGAAGGUCAAAUCAUCGGUAAAUACGGGACUCGCUAUGGUGCCUCCCUCCGGGAAAAUGUGAAGAAAAUUGGAAUCAGCCAGCACGCCAAGUACACUUGCUCGUUUUGCAGCAAAACCAAGAAUGAAGAGAUGAGCUUGUGGGGAUCUGGCACUGUGGUUCCUGCAUGAAAACCGUAGCUGGUGGUGCCUGGACCUACAACACCACUUCUGCUGUCACAGUAAAGUCCGCCAUCAGAAGACUGAAGGAAUUGAAAGACCAGUAGAAGCUCACCUUUGCAGACAUUACUAGCCUAUAAUAAAUGGGUUAAUUUA
Microcebus murinus (gray mouse lemur) is the source of this 329-nucleotide non-coding RNA. The record is from RefSeq and is a predicted model, not a curated record. NCBI's taxonomy places the organism in Eukaryota, Metazoa, Chordata, Mammalia, Primates, Cheirogaleidae.